Molecule: ribosomal RNA, 395 nt
Filed under: uncultured bacterium
Lineage: Bacteria
Description: partial 16S ribosomal RNA
Rfam family: Bacterial small subunit ribosomal RNA
Source: RNAcentral
AUACGUAGGGUGCAAGCGUUAAUCGGAAUUACUGGGCGUAAAGCGUGCGCAGGCGGUUUUGUAAGACAGUGGUGAAAUCCCCGGGCUCGACCUGGGAACUGCCAUUGUGACUGCAAGGCUGGAGUGCGGCAGAGGGGGAUGGAAUUCCGGGUGUAGCAGUGAAAAGCGUGGAGAUGCGGAGGAACACCGAUGGCGAAGGCAAUCGCCUGGGCCUGCGCUGACGCUCAUGCACGAAAGCGUGGGGAGCAAACAUGAGUAGAUACCCUGGUAGUCCACGCACUAAACGAUGCCAACUGGUUGUUGGGGUUUUAUUUUCUCAGUAACGAAGCUAACGCGUGAAGUGGACCGCCUGGGGAGUACGGCCGCAAGGUGGAAACUCACAGGAAUUGACGGGG